GAUGAACGCUAGCGGGAGGCCUAACACAUGCAAGCCGAGCGGUAUUUGUUCUUCGGAACAGAGAGAGCGGCGCACGGGUGCGGAACACGUGUGCAACCUGCCUUUAUCUGUGGGAUAGCCUUUCGAAAGGAAGAUUAAUACCCCAUACUAUAUUUAUUUGCAUCCUUUUAUAUUGAAAACUCCGGUGGAUAGUGAUGUGCACGCGCAAGAUUAGAUAGUUGGGGAGGUAACUGCUCACCGAGUCAAUGAUCUUUAGGGGGCCUGAGAGGGUGAGCCACCACGGUGGUACUGAAACACGGACAAGACUCCGACGGGAGGAAGUAGUGAGGAAUACUGGAUGAUGGGUUGGCGCAUGAUCCAGCCACGCCGGGUGAAGGAAGACGGCCGUAUGGGAUGUAAACUUCUUUUGGAUAGGGAAAAAGUGAAACUCGUGAGAGUAGCUGAAGGUACAAUACGAAUAAGAACCGGCUAAAUCCGUG
This 479-nucleotide ribosomal RNA is filed under the name uncultured bacterium. Its description in RNAcentral is "partial 16S ribosomal RNA". It matches the Rfam family "Bacterial small subunit ribosomal RNA", at positions 28 to 507 of the family's 1533-position model. The record is from RNAcentral.